This 300-nucleotide ribosomal RNA is filed under the name uncultured Deinococcus sp. RNAcentral's name for it is "bacterial SSU rRNA". The stretch from base 52 to 300 matches the Rfam family "Bacterial small subunit ribosomal RNA", at positions 547 to 795 of the family's 1533-position model. The record is from RNAcentral. Lineage: Bacteria; Thermotogati; Deinococcota; Deinococci; Deinococcales; Deinococcaceae.
GCUUAGUAGGGGAGAGAAGCGGAGGUGAUGAGGAGGAGGCAGGGGUUGUACGGAGUUAGUUGGGGUAAAGGGCGUGUAGGCGGGCUGGAGGGUCAGCGGGGAAAAAUCGAGGAGCAACCGCGCGACGUCGGUGGAGACCACCGGGCUAGAGGCGGGAAGAGGGGUGUGGAAUUCCGGGUGUAGCGGUGAAAUGCGCAGAUAUCGGGAAGAACAGACGUGGCGAAGGCGGCACUCUGGGACGGUACUGACGCUGAGACGCGAAAGCGUGGGGAGCGAACAGGAUUAGAUACCCCAGUAGUC